RNAcentral lists this small RNA (1481 nucleotides) under Pongo abelii (Sumatran orangutan). RNAcentral's name for it is "processed transcript". Lineage: Eukaryota; Metazoa; Chordata; Mammalia; Primates; Hominidae. The record is from RNAcentral.
GUAUUUCCGGAGUCCCUUCUGAGACCGAAGGUUGUGUUGGGGAACUGAAGCAGUUUCUGUGCGCGGACAGGGAACCCUGCGUUUCUACUGUGUGAUUCUGCCACCUUCCUGGCCCGACGCCAUGGGAGUGACUUGGUCAGACCGGGAAGCUGAUGUAUGUGAUGCACAACUCAGAGUACCCAUUGAGCUGUUUCGCCCUCUUUGAGAAUGGCCCUUGCCUUAUUGCUGACACCAACUUUGAUGUGCUUAUGGUGAAGCUCAAGGGCUUUUUCCAGAGUGCUAAGGCCAGCAAGAUUGAGACCCGGGGCACCCGGUACCAGUACUGUGACUUCCUGGUGAAGGUGGGCACAGUCACAAUGGGGCCCAGUGCCCGGGGCAUCUCUGUGGAGGUGGAGUAUGGCCCCUGUGUGGUAGCUAGUGACUGCUGGAGUCUCCUGCUCGAGUUCCUACAGAGUUUUCUAGGCAGCCACACACCAGGGGCUCCCGCAGUGUUUGGGAACAGACAUGAUGCAGUCUACGGCCCAGCAGAUACCAUGGUCCAGUACAUGGAACUCUUCAACAAGAUCCGCAAGCAGCAGCAGGUGCCGGUGGCUGGGAUUCGUUAGUGAUGAGCAGCUGCCAGCUGAGCUGUGUCACCAGGGGUACUCCACAGGAGGAGCAGGUGCUGACUUUCAGGUCCCCAGACCCCAGAAACCCAGGGUAGACAUGGACUCUACUCUCCUUCUCUGGUUCCCAGCUGUGGAUUUUGUUCUGGGGUCUGGAGUCCCCUCCCCAACCCCCUGACUCUCACACAUAGCCCCCCAUCAGCUGUUUUACUCCGUGCCUUACUGGAUUUGGCCUGUCCUCAAGAAUGGUAAUUAUGAAGAAUGGAGAAGUUUGGACCCUGCCUCCUUUAGGGGAAAGGUAGGACAGGAAUGUCCCUGCCUGGUACUGGUGGGGGAAAUAGUCCAUAUCCCCAACUAUUGAGGAUUUGUCCCAGGCCGAUGGUGAACAUGCUGCAUUUUAUGUUUGGAUUGUGCUGUAAUAAGAGCCUCUUCCUUUCCUCAGAGGAUGUGGCUGGGCUUCUAUCCUAGAGAUGGAGUAGAAGGCACAACUGGUUUGAUAGUUACUAUUUUCUGACCUGUUUGCUGAAGUGAUUUGCGAAUUGACUUUCCUAGGGUGUUGCCUGAGUCCUUUGAAAUCUCCUUCUGACAUCUUUCCCUUCUGUUGUGAAAUAGUUAAGCCACAGGCCAAACUGCUAUAAGAUCGAAGUUUGUUUUUUUCUCACCUAAUAAUAGAGAGGUAGUCAGAUGGUCUAGGGCAGAUUUAACUCUACAAGGUUAUCAGGAACUUGGUUUCCUUCUGUCUUAUUCAGCCAUUCCCAGUAUGUUUUCUUACCCACAAGAUCAAAGCAGACUCAUCAGCUCCAUAUCUGCAUUCUACUGGGGAAAGAGAGAGAGAAAAAGCACUUUUUAAAAAAAAGAUAUGACUGAGCAUUGCUC